This 84-nucleotide transfer RNA is filed under the name Candidatus Faecimonas gallistercoris. RNAcentral describes it as "tRNA-Leu". It matches the Rfam family "tRNA". Rfam says of the family: Transfer RNA (tRNA) molecules are approximately 80 nucleotides in length. Their secondary structure includes four short double-helical elements and three loops (D, anti-codon, and T loops). RNAcentral also lists the same sequence under 2 other names. The record is from RNAcentral. Lineage: Bacteria; Bacillati; Bacillota; Bacilli.
GCGGGUAUGGCGGAAUUGGCAGACGCGCUAGACUUAGGAUCUAGUGUCUUAGACGUGCAGGUUCAACUCCUGUUACCCGCACCA